ACCAACAAACAAACCUGGAAACAAAAACUCAAAGACAACCAGACCAGAAACCAAAAAUGUUUCACCAACCUUUCAAGCCACUCCCGGAAACAAGGACCCAAAGCAAACAGUUGGGAGCAGGAGAACUUCUGACACAACAAAUCAAGGAGGGAAGGUUAAAACAACCACGCAACCUGGAAGCAAACAGUUUAAAACAACCCAACCAGGAACAGACAAUCCUCCACCA
Cyprinodon variegatus (sheepshead minnow) is the source of this 226-nucleotide long non-coding RNA. RefSeq lists it as uncharacterized. The transcript has 3 exons. Lineage: Eukaryota; Metazoa; Chordata; Actinopteri; Cyprinodontiformes; Cyprinodontidae. The record is from RefSeq and is a predicted model, not a curated record.